UGGGGAAUAUUGCACAAUGGGCGAAAGCCUGAUGCAGCGACGCCGCGUGAGGGAUGACGGCCUUCGGGUUGUAAACCUCUUUCAGCAGGGACGAAGCGCAAGUGACGGUACCUGCAGAAGAAGCACCGGCUAACUACGUGCCAGCAGCCGCGGUAAUACGUAGGGUGCAAGCGUUGUCCGGAAUUACUGGGCGUAAAGAGUUCGUAGGCGGUUUGUCGCGUCGUUUGUGAAAACCAGCAGCUCAACUGCUGGCUUGCAGGCGAUACGGGCAGACUUGAGUACUGCAGGGGAGACUGGAAUUCCUGGUGUAGCGGUGAAAUGCGGAGGUAUCAGGAGGAACACCGGUGGCGAAGGCGAGUCUCUGGGCAGUAACUGACGCUGAGGAACGAAAGCGUGGGUAGCGAACAGG
This 409-nucleotide ribosomal RNA is filed under the name bacterium. RNAcentral describes it as "partial 16S ribosomal RNA". It matches the Rfam family "Bacterial small subunit ribosomal RNA", at positions 355 to 776 of the family's 1533-position model. The record is from RNAcentral.